UAAAUACUAAUGGAAUCAAGUAUUUUGCAUAAAGUUUUCAUUUGUUGUCUCUAACUCUAUGUUUUGUGUUUUGUAUGUAGUAUUAAAGUAUGUGUAUAUCAAUU
Molecule: long non-coding RNA, 104 nt
Organism: Cebus imitator (Panamanian white-faced capuchin)
Lineage: Eukaryota; Metazoa; Chordata; Mammalia; Primates; Cebidae
Exons: 4
Source: RefSeq, a predicted model, not a curated record